This 83-nucleotide transfer RNA is filed under the name Schistosoma haematobium. It matches the Rfam family "tRNA". Rfam says of the family: Transfer RNA (tRNA) molecules are approximately 80 nucleotides in length. The record is from Rfam by way of RNAcentral. Lineage: Eukaryota; Metazoa; Platyhelminthes; Trematoda; Strigeidida; Schistosomatidae.
GUCAGGAUGGCCGAGCAGUCCAAGGCGCUGCGUUCAGGUCGCAGUCCACUCUGUGGGCGUGGGUUCGAAUCCCACUCCUGACA